This is a long non-coding RNA of Aethalodelphis obliquidens (Pacific white-sided dolphin), 106 nucleotides long. RefSeq lists it as uncharacterized. The transcript has 3 exons. The record is from RefSeq and is a predicted model, not a curated record. NCBI's taxonomy places the organism in Eukaryota, Metazoa, Chordata, Mammalia, Artiodactyla, Delphinidae.
CCCAGAGUCCAAAGACAGGGAACUGAGAGCAGCCCCCAGCUGACUGCCAGCAAGGAAAUCAGGACCUCGGUCCUACAACACAAAGAACUGAAUUCUGCUAACAACC